UGGUAAGCUAUACGACGUCCCAUUGACAGACAACGUGUACGGGUAAGAUUCGUCUUUAGUUGGCUCGCUUUGUCCCAGUUGUGGCGGUCUUCUAAGCAUUUGAGCAAUUCGCACGGCAUCGCGGCACCCGCUCCGCCGAGUUCUGACUGCAAGCCCCUGAACAAAUCCGCAAACAGAUUGGACAGGAGCUGGCUUCUUAAAGACGUGCACGAACAUGACUCCUGGAACAUUCGGUGAAGUGAAUUGGCUUCAAGAUCCUGUGAUUCGACACCGUUACACUUCCUUCUCUGGGGCCAUGAAGCACAGGUCUUUAAAGCAACAUAAAGAGCAAUUAGGUAUUCGAGUUAUUGGCGAUAGACCCGCAAUUAUGCCAGACUGUGAUUGAAAUUUUUGAAGAAAGAUUAAAAUGUAUAU
Long non-coding RNA from Leptidea sinapis, 414 nucleotides. RefSeq lists it as uncharacterized. NCBI's taxonomy places the organism in Eukaryota, Metazoa, Arthropoda, Insecta, Lepidoptera, Pieridae. The transcript is spliced from 3 exons. The record is from RefSeq and is a predicted model, not a curated record.